RNAcentral lists this ribosomal RNA (857 nucleotides) under uncultured Chloroflexota bacterium. RNAcentral describes it as "bacterial SSU rRNA". It matches the Rfam family "Bacterial small subunit ribosomal RNA", at positions 524 to 1394 of the family's 1533-position model. Lineage: Bacteria; Bacillati; Chloroflexota. The record is from RNAcentral.
GACGUAGGACGCGAGCGUUAUCCGGAUUUACUGGGCGUAAAGCGCCUGCAGGCGGUCAGGUAAGUCGGUUGUGAAAGCCCCGUGCUCAACGCGGGGAGGCCAAGCGAUACUGCGUGACUUGAGGGCGGAAGAGGGGAGUGGAAUUCCCGGUGUAGCGGUAAAAUGCGCAGAUAUCGGGAGGAACACCAGUGGCGAAGGCGGCUCCCUGGACCGCACCUGACGCUCAGAGGCGAAAGCUAGGGGAGCGAACAGGAUUAGAGACCCUGGUAGUCCUAGCCCUAAACGCUGGAUGCUAGGUGUAGGGCUGAUGAGGCUCUGUGCCGGAGCGAACGCGAUAAGCAUCCCGCCUGGGAACUACGGCCGCAAGGCUAAAACUCAAACGAAUUGACGGGGACCCGCACAAGCAGCGGAGCGUGUGGUUUAAUUCGAUGCUACACGAAGAACCUUACCUGGGUUUGACAUGCUGGUGGUACCGAACCGAAAGGGGAGGGACCCUUCGGGGAGCCAACACAGGUGCUGCAUGGCUGUCGUCAGCUCGUGCCGUGAGGUGUCGGGUUAAGUCCCGUAACGAGCGCAACCCUUGCUCUUAGUUAUACGUGUCUAAGGGGACUGCCGGCGACAAGCCGGAGGAAGGUGGGGAUGACGUCAAGUCAGCAUGGCCUUGAUAUCCAGGGCUACACACACGCUACAAUGGCCGGUACAAAGGGCAGCCAAGCCGCGAGGUGGAGCGAAUCCCAGCAAAGCCGGUCCCAGUUCGGAUUGCAGGCUGCAACCCGCCUGCAUGAAGUUGGAGUUGCUAGUAACCGCGCGUCAGCCAUAGUGCGGUGAAUACGUACCCGGGUCUUGCACUCACCGCC